GACGAACGCUGGCGGCGUGCUUAACACAUGCAAGUCGAGCGGUAAGGCCCUUCGGGGUACACGAGCGGCGGACGGCUGAGUAACGCGUAGGAACGUACCCCAAAGUGAGGGAUAAGCACCAGAAAUGGUGUCUAAUACCGCAUGUGCUCUAAGGAGUAAAGCUUCGGCGCUUUGGGAACGGCCUGCGUCUGAUUAGCUUGUUGGUGAGGUAAAAGCUCACCAAGGCGACGAUCAGUAGCUGGUCUGAGAGGAUGAUCAGCCAGACUGGGACUGAGAA
This 277-nucleotide ribosomal RNA is filed under the name uncultured bacterium. Its description in RNAcentral is "partial 16S ribosomal RNA". It matches the Rfam family "Bacterial small subunit ribosomal RNA", at positions 28 to 325 of the family's 1533-position model. The record is from RNAcentral.